GCCAGGUUGCCCGAGCGGCCAAUGGGAUCUGACUGUAAAUCAGACGCGAAAGCUUCGGGGGUUCGAAUCCCUCACCUGGCACCA
RNAcentral lists this transfer RNA (84 nucleotides) under Xylanimonas cellulosilytica DSM 15894. RNAcentral's name for it is "tRNA-Tyr (GTA) (tRNA-Tyr-GTA-1-1)". It matches the Rfam family "tRNA". Rfam says of the family: Transfer RNA (tRNA) molecules are approximately 80 nucleotides in length. Their secondary structure includes four short double-helical elements and three loops (D, anti-codon, and T loops). Further hydrogen bonds mediate the characteristic L-shaped molecular structure. tRNAs have two regions of fundamental functional importance: the anti-codon, which is responsible for specific mRNA codon recognition, and the 3' end, to which the tRNAs corresponding amino acid is attached (by aminoacyl-tRNA synthetases). tRNAs cope with the degeneracy of the genetic code in two manners: having more than one tRNA (with a specific anti-codon) for a particular amino acid; and 'wobble' base-pairing, i.e. permitting non-standard base-pairing at the 3rd anti-codon position. The record is from RNAcentral. RNAcentral also lists the same sequence under 1 other name. Lineage: Bacteria; Bacillati; Actinomycetota; Actinomycetes; Micrococcales; Promicromonosporaceae.